GUGUGUAUACCUGCAGAGUUGUAACAUGCGGGCAUUUCUCCCCCCACCCCGCCAUUCUGGCUUCUUAACUUGCACCCUAACAGCUCGACAGAACCUUGGCGUCCACAAAAAGGACUUGAGGUGGGACAUGGAAGAACAGGGACCCCUCCUGGUUUGUCCACCAGGCCCAGACCUCCAUUCCUCACCCAACCUACCACUUCAAAGCCAGGGAAAGACCUCAGAGAACAUCCGCUCCGACUCCACCGAGGCUCAGACAGGACAACAAGAGUGUGCUGGACACUGGGAAAUGUGGUCCAGGAGCAGUCACAGUCCCUACAGACCUCCCACAAAUUACCGUAAUGCAAAGAGUGCUCAGCCCCUGCCGACAUGAGCAAUGGGCAGCGCGUCCCGCUGGGUUCCUGCCCCAUGAGAAGCACACAGCCUGGUUUGGGGAGGUGGGGCUCCAUCAGGGCUCUUUGGAUACCUGGGUGGAGCCCACAGACCAGCCCCCACCUUGUGUGGUUAGGGCUUUGCUAGGAAGGCCCACCAUCUGUGCGCCAUGACCUUGGAACUCGACGUGAGAUCCCUGGACCGGCAGCAGCACCUGAAAGCUUGUUGGAAAUGCUGAUCUCAGGUGGGACUCCAGAUUUCCCACAUCUGCACCUGCACUCCCAAAGUACCUCCCCACCAGAUGAUCCGAGGCCGUGGGGCAGUCUGAGGGGCACUGUGCUGGGGUGUCCCACCGCUAGAGAUCCAGUCUGGCAAUCUGAAGAUGUAAGUGCCCCCAGGAGGAGUGACAGAGUGACACAAAUGACACAAGGGGAGGAGACUUGUCAGGUGUCCCCUCCUGACUGCAAGUUUCUGGGGCAGAAGGCAAUGCCCCCACAGGGACUUUUCUAGACACUCCGAGUGCACCUGAAUUGCAUUUUGAGUGAUGCUACCUGCUAAUCAGGAAGAGCCCUCUGGAGCCUUGGAAAGCAGAGUGGAAGUGGUGGUGCCCAGGACGCAUGGGCUCUGAUGGGAAGGGGGAGGGUGGACCUGAGCGUGGGCCUUCUUCUCCCAGGGUCAGAGGGACCUGGGUGCUCCUGGAGGGAACGCUGAGGUCACCUCUGGCCAAAUCUUCCUGUUCUGCCCGUACCCAGCCCUGUUCAGUGAUGUCAAGCUUUUGGGUCCCUGUCCUGGGGCCCUCCACACUGGUCGGGCUGUGUAGAGACGCCCUUCUCUCCACUUUAUUGGGUCCAGAUUGUUGUGUGUCUUCUCCCCUCCUCUGCAGCCUGGGGUCUGAAAACAGUGAUGCUGACAGACAGACAGAUUUCCAAAAGAAAGGUCCUGCUCAGCCAAGGACAAAGGGGCCUUGCAGAGGCUCCUGGGGGUCAGAAAGCUGAGAGUCUACCGGGCAGGUGCCUUCUGCACCCACAGGCACAAGCUACAACAGCUUUCCAAGAAGCACAUCCACAUCGUCCCCAGGUCCAGAUGCCCACAUCGCCCUGCAGGGACCAAGACCACACUCAGGCUGCUUGGACAGGAUGUAGCGGGUCACUGUUCUGGAGCUGGCCCCUCUGUAGCCUGUGACAAUCAGCUCGAGUUUCUCUGCCAAGUCUCCGCCUUCUGUUCUUACUGCCCACCUUAAAGCAGAGUUGACGUUUCGGGUUUUUCCAGCAGACAAAGCUCACCCCAUCCGACACUGUGGAGGUUGUUAAUUUAACAACCAACCCGUCCUCAUGUUGAGAAACCAGCUCCAAAUGCUCACCUGGCUGUCAGGGAUGGGGAGCCUCAUGGGUGAAAGAGGGAUGUGAUGGCAUAUUUUAAACCAAAAGAGACAUUUGCGGUUGCCCAUGUUGCCCCGGGCCUGCUGGCCUCCUGCUGUGAAUGUUUUGGGCAAUACCAUCUCUGCCAGUGACCCCCAAUUGUCCACUUGUCUCCAGCAAGAUCGAACCAUGUAAGUGCCAUUUCUGACAACUUGGGUGAACGUUGGUUUCAAAUCAUCAGCUCUGCAUUCAAGUGCCCUGCUAAAAUUCUGGCUCACUCUGUGGGAAUAACUGCCUGCCUGGGCACGUUGCCGUUGCUGCCUCCCAAAAGGCAGUUUCUGGGGUCCCAGUUCAUCCAGGCUGGAUGUGGUUUGGGAGAGACCUGUGGCACCAGGUUGGAGGGCGGUCUCACCUCUCCUUUCUGAGCUGUGGACUGCAGCUUCAGGACCCUAUGGAUGAGGCUGAAUGUCAUGAAGAUAAUGGAAUUUGGAAUCUCAACAAAGCCAAGCCCCAUGCCAGAGAUUCACCAUCUGGGGCCCAGGAUCAGAAGUGUGCCCUUAGGAGGCCAAACAUCCACCUGUCUACCAACUAGACAUUUGGUCUCAGACAGCAAGAAAGGCUGUGUUUAUGUCAUUAGGGGGAACACCACGGUCUUCGGCAUGAGAGAGGUGUAAUUCUCAAGUUCAUCAGAGCUUGGCUUCCCCCAUGAGAAGAAACAAUUUGCCAGGUUGAAGAACACACGCUUUGAGGGUUCUCAGAGGCUGACACCUGUUGUGAAUCUUGGAAACUCAAGCCCCAGUGCAAACAGCCUUGAAGGAGGUCGAGCAUCAUGGUUCCAACAAGUGACUCACUUUGUUAACCCGAUGUGUAAGCAGAAUCGCAAUGCAUCCAUCCUUCCCUAAUCCUCACGUCGCUGUCAUCUGGUCAAUGAACUGAGGCCCAAAGCCUUGAGUCAAACUGGUUUUCGAGGCUGUGCUCAUGGGAUUUAUAUGUUUCUUGAGCCCUGUUGGAGGCUCUUGGCAGGUCUGAACAUUAAACAUUUCUUUUCUUCCUUUUAC
RNAcentral lists this non-coding RNA (2785 nucleotides) under Pongo abelii (Sumatran orangutan). Lineage: Eukaryota; Metazoa; Chordata; Mammalia; Primates; Hominidae. The record is from RNAcentral.